GUUCGAUCAUGGCUCAGAUUGAACGCUAGCGGGAUGCCUUACUACGGCCGAACGGCAGCACGGACUUCGGUCUGGUGGCGAGUGGCGAACGGGUGAGUAAUGUAUCGGAACGCCUAGUAGCGGGGGAUAACUACGCGAAAGCAUAGCUAAUACCGCAUACGCCACCCUUCGGGGGAAAGCGGGGACCUUCGGGCCUCGCAAUUAGGGCGGCCGAUAUCGGAUUAGCUAGUUGGUGGGGUAACGGCUCACCAAGGCGAUGACCGUAGCUGGCUUGAGAGGACGACCAGCCACACUGGGACUGAGACACGGCCCAGACUCCACGGGAGGCAGCAGUGGGGAAUUUUGGACAAUGGGGGAAACCCUGAUCCAGCCAUCCCGCGUGUGCGAUGAAGGCCUUCAAGUUGUAAAGCACUUUUGGCAGGAAAGAAACGGCACGGGAUAAUACCCCGUGCAACUGACGGUACCUGCAGAAUAAGCACCGGCUAACUACGUGCCAGCAGCCGCGUAAUACGUAGGGUGCAAGCGUUAAUCGGAAUUACUGGGCGUAAGCGUGCGCAGGCGGUUCGAAAAGAAAGAUGUGGAAUCCCAGAGCUUAACUUUGGAACUGCAUUUUUAACUACCGAGCUAGAGUGUAAUGAGGGAGGUGGAAUUCCGCGUGUAGCAGUGAAAUGCGUAGAUAUGCGGAGGAACACCGAUGGCGAAGGCAGCCUCCCGGGAUAACACCGAUGCUCAUGCACGAAAGCGUGGGGAGCAAAUGGAUUAGAUACCUCUGGUAGUCCACGCCCUAAACGAUGUCAACUAGUUGUUAGCCUCGGGCCUUGGUAGCGCAGCUAACGCGUGAAGUUGACCGCCUGUGAGUACGGUCGCAAGAUUAAAACUCAAAGGAAUUGAUUGGGACCCGCACAAGCGGUGGAUGAUGUGGAUUAAUUCGAGCAACGCGAAAAACCCAUCACCUCUUGACAUGUUCAAAUCCUGAAGAGAUUUGGGAGUGCUCGCAAGAGAACCGGAACACAGGUGCUGCAUGGCUGUCGUCAGCUCGUGUCGAGAUGCUGUAGUUAAGUCCCGCAACGAGCGCAACCCUUGUCAUUAGUUGCUGAGCGAAAGGGCACUCUAAUGAGACUGCCGGUGACAAACCGAGGAAGGUGGGGAUGACGUCGUCCUCAUAUCUUUAUGGGCAGGGCUUGCCAUCGUCAUACAAUGGUCGGGACAGAGGGUCGCCAACCCGCGAGGGAGCCAAUCCCAGAAACCCGAUCGUAGUCCGGAUCGCAGUCUGUAACUCGACUGCGUAGUCGAAUCGCUAGUAAUCGCGGAUCAGCAUGUCGCGGGUGAAUAUGCUCCGGGUCUUGUACACACCGCCCGUCACACCAUGGGAGUGGCUUUACCAGAAGUAGUUAGCUCAACUGCAAGGAGGGCGAUUACCAUGUAGAUUCAUGGAUCAGUGAAGUCGUAACGCGUA
Molecule: ribosomal RNA, 1456 nt
Filed under: uncultured Bordetella sp.
Lineage: Bacteria; Pseudomonadati; Pseudomonadota; Betaproteobacteria; Burkholderiales; Alcaligenaceae
Description: partial 16S-23S ribosomal RNA intergenic spacer
Rfam family: Bacterial small subunit ribosomal RNA
Source: RNAcentral